Molecule: ribosomal RNA, 167 nt
Filed under: Sarcocystis sp.
Lineage: Eukaryota; Apicomplexa; Conoidasida; Eucoccidiorida; Sarcocystidae
Description: partial small subunit ribosomal RNA
Source: RNAcentral
UUGGCUAAUACAUGCGCAAAUACUAUAUUAUGUCACUUAACGGUGGAUGAUAAUAUAGUAGUGUUUAUUAGAUACAGAACCAAUACACCUCCUGUAAAGGGGKGUAGAAAAAGGUGAUUCAUAGUAACCGAACGGAUCGCAUAUAAUAUAAUCAUUUCGAUGAUUAU